Molecule: long non-coding RNA, 1985 nt
Organism: Tyto alba (common barn owl)
Lineage: Eukaryota; Metazoa; Chordata; Aves; Strigiformes; Tytonidae
Exons: 2
Source: RefSeq, a predicted model, not a curated record
AAAAAAAAGAAAAAGCAACAGAAUAUAUAAAGCUCCUGAUUAACAGUUUAGGUGCAGAACCCUAUUUAUAGGGUACGCGCUCUCCUAUAACGCCACGAUCCUCCAGCCUGUAGCAGAACAUUAUUGAUGCAGCUGCAAGUGCUCAAAGCUUAAACAAUAUUUUUUCCAAAAGCCCCAGCAGCCCGCCCGGGAGGAAGGUGGGGACGGGCUGGCGAUGGAGUCCUGAAUGUUACUCCUCCAGUUUCAAGGACAUCUUGCUGAUGAGGAUUUGGUUAAUGGAGGAGAACUUAUGUCCUAGCGGUGACGUCAUUGGGUCCCAAUGUAAUCCUCUUGUGCUGAACCCAAUCAGCAGAUGUGCUGAGAGCCGGGAUGCGGAGAAGAAGCUCUAAUCCCUUAGACUGGAUGAGAUCAGCUGAAACAGCCAGGACUAGACCCCAAACCCCUCUGCUAGGAAGAUCAAGAGAAAAGGGAUAAAUUGAGAGAGACGCCUCAUAACCCCUUUAAAGAGCUUUGGAGAAGAGAAGAGAAAGAUGGGUGGUGCACCAAGUUCAUCUUGCUUUUAAAGCCUAGCGGGAGCCUGGUUUUCACUCUGAUGAGGUCCUUCUGCAUUGUUCCAGGGCAGGAGGAGAGAGGAGGAAAAAAAAAAAAAAAAAAAAAAAAAGAGAGAGAAAGAAAGAGAGAAAAGGAAAAAAAAAAAAAAAAAAAGAGAGGAUAAAAAGUCUGAAAUUCAAAGAUAAUGAGAGACUAGGCGCCUUUCUUAUUCAUCUCCAGCUUGCCUACACAGAACAAGCGUCCCGAGCCACGGGAGGGCGUUUGCACUGGAUCUGAGCGCGGCAGCGGAGUUUGCGCCGCCGGAGCCGGGCGCUGCUUCCCCCGGAGUGGCCCCGCUCGCCGCCUGCCCUGCUCCGAGCGGGGACAGCCCGAGCCCCUCUCUGCGUGUUCACAGCGGACCUUGAUUUAAUGUCCAUACAAUUAAGGCACGCGGUGAAUGCCAAGAGAGGAGCCUCACAGCUUCAUUUUCAUGGAAAUUGGGGACAUAAACCCUCUAAUUACACUUAACAACAGCCACGGAGCGAUCUAUGGAGCAUCCUCGGCCUUUUGACAAAUAGGAGUAACAAUGCCGGCAGCGCCUGGCGGGGCAGCUGUCUGCUCGCAUUAACGGGGGCACGGGGGGGACCGGGGGGGGGGGGGGGGGGGGAGGCCCCGCUCCGGUCCCGCCGGGGCUUGCGGGGGCUCCCGGCGUACAAAGGGCAGGAGGAGCGGCAGGACAAUGCGGGCAGAGCUGGGGGGGGGGGGGAGGUGGGGGGGGUGGCUGCGGGCAGCGGGGCGGGGGGGAAAGGAGGAGGGGGGGUGACAAGCGGCCCCUCGUUGCAGAGCGAGGGGACCCCCCCCACCCCCCCCCCCCCCAGAACAAGGGACCCCCCAUUCCUUUCCCGGUGCUUUGAAAGGAGCGCUGGGCUCCGCAAUGCCGUUUGGAAGCUCCCUGAAAAAAAAAACCACCCCUUUGAGGGGUUUUGGGGAAGAGGGGGGUGCUUUUUGCUUUAUUUCUUCACUUGCUUUUUAUUUUUAGUUUUGGUUUUGGUUUUUAUUUUCGCCGUUCCCACCCCGCAGCCCUGCGCCGCUCCUUCCUUGUGCGGGAGCUCGGCCACGCAGCCCCCGCUGCGCUGCGGAGCUGCAACACGGCUCCCCGGUCCUGUCCUGCCUGCCCUCAGAGCUCCUUUGCAACUCAGCUAUUCACGGAACUCAAUAAUAAGCCUGCUAUUUUUUUUUUUUUUUUUUUUUUUUUUUUUUCCAAAACCCCUCCAGCUCAGGCAAGGCGAGGUGCUGCAGCACUGCAGCCGCCCCCAGUGCCACCUCCAGCCCCGUCAGGCUCCGUCACCGCAGCCUGUGGGACACGGCCCCUUUCGCAGUCUCCAGCGAGACUGCAGUAGCCCACGCUGGUUCUUAGGUUAGGCUUUAGACCUCAAUAAACCUCUGUUGUAAGA